RNAcentral lists this long non-coding RNA (324 nucleotides) under Nicotiana benthamiana. Its description in RNAcentral is "long non-coding RNA (NBEN_LNC023249)". Lineage: Eukaryota; Viridiplantae; Streptophyta; Magnoliopsida; Solanales; Solanaceae. The record is from RNAcentral.
ACAAAACCAAUCUUAUUUUUGGCAGAAAGAGCAACAAUCAUUUUCCUCCUCCAGCCCCCAUAACCACUACCCGAGAAGGGAGUGGACACAAGAGAAACUCCAGGAACAUCAGAGGAGUAAAUGAGAAGGGGGCUGGUAGAGUCUACUAAGGAGGUAUUAGUAUUCAUAUUAGAAGCCAUGAGUAAUGAACCAGUUUGAGAAGAAAACAGUCUCGGUAAGCAAAAUAUAACGGAACCAGAGUUCACAUACAAAGCAUACAAUACUCAAAAUAAGGACAGAGUUACCCUCCUUCUUCGCGACCGGAGAAGACGGCCUUCAAUUAAC